UGUGACACAUUUUUAGCAUUGCAGAGAGUGGUGCACGUUCUAAUCAUUGCUAUGCAGCGCCCAUCAGAAAAAUGGGGAGCUCUCACUCAUCUUUGAGAGAUGCUAAAAGUAGUUGUCAAGCACAUGGGUAGAGAUUAUUAGGGAGCCGUCCAUUUUCGAGGUAGGCUAUGUUAUGACGAUCCAAGCAAACAUCGUUCUUUGUGAUGCAAAAAAUGCUACAUAUAAGAGGGUAUGGAUUCUCUGUGCAUGUUUUGCACCGUACAAAGCUGUCCACUCUUUGACGGCUAUACCACAUGAUCAAUGUGGAGAUAGAUGAUGGUUAAACAUGGCACGAUAUAUCUUAUCGAAUUGCAUGGCAUAAAUGCAGCACACCCAUUUAUGCUGUUUGACAACCACAUCUAUCUUUACAUUUGGAUGACAUGGUGGCCAUCGAUGGAAAUGUAGCUACUUGCAAUGCAAAUCAUGCACCGCAGAGGACCUCAACUCAUGUAGAGGAUCCUAGGUCCAUUGUCUCUAGAGAGGUUUAGGGGAAAACAUAACAUAGCCUUGCCCACCUUUACAAUAUUACAUUAUCAUUAUCUAGGGGAAAACAUAACAGAGCCUUGCCCACCUUUACAAUAUUACAUUAUCAUUAUCUAGUGGAAAACAUAACAUAGCCUUGCCCACCUUUACAGUAUUACAUUAUCAUUAUCUUGAAUUAGAGAAAUAUUUUGCAAAAUUUUGUUUAUCAAUUUUCAAUCUCCAAGUUGUCGUGAACUUUCGGUCCAAAAUUUUAUAACAAGUAUUGUUAUUUAAUGAAAUAUGCUGCGAAAGAUAUUAAAACCUUGUCUUUGCUUGAUCCAUAUUUCUCCCGCAUGAUGAGAGUCAAACUAAAAUAAUUAUUUUUUAAACUUAUGUGCUGUCGUAUUUUUCAUUCAACUAAUUGCUAGACAUAAUAUAAUAAGUGCAAUAAUCAUAUUAUCAUACUAGUUAGAGCUGGGAAAUCAAAUAAUCAAUU
RNAcentral lists this long non-coding RNA (997 nucleotides) under Elaeis guineensis (African oil palm). Its description in RNAcentral is "long non-coding RNA (EGUI_LNC030187)". The record is from RNAcentral. Lineage: Eukaryota; Viridiplantae; Streptophyta; Magnoliopsida; Arecales; Arecaceae.